This 71-nucleotide transfer RNA is filed under the name Trichechus manatus latirostris (Florida manatee). Its description in RNAcentral is "tRNA-Gly (TCC) (tRNA-Gly-TCC-9-1)". It matches the Rfam family "tRNA". From Rfam's summary of the family: Transfer RNA (tRNA) molecules are approximately 80 nucleotides in length. Their secondary structure includes four short double-helical elements and three loops (D, anti-codon, and T loops). The record is from Rfam by way of RNAcentral. Lineage: Eukaryota; Metazoa; Chordata; Mammalia; Sirenia; Trichechidae.
GCAGUGGUGGUUCAGUGGUAGAAUUCUUGCCUUCCAUGCAGGAGACCUGGGUUCAAUUCCCAGCCAAUGCA